UUAAAUUUAUAAGAUGCGAAGAUGCUGAAAGGGUAACAUUUUCAGUGUUUAUGCUAAAGAAGGGGGCUAGCCAUUGGUGGGACAUGACUACCAGGUCAUUAACACCUGCUGAAGAACAGGCUAUAACUUGGGAGAGGUUUAAGGAACUUGUAGAAGAAAAAUUCUUCCCGACAGCUGUGAGAGAUCAAAAGGAGAUGGAGUUCCU
Molecule: long non-coding RNA, 205 nt
Filed under: Olea europaea (common olive)
Lineage: Eukaryota; Viridiplantae; Streptophyta; Magnoliopsida; Lamiales; Oleaceae
Description: long non-coding RNA (OEUR_LNC010317)
Source: RNAcentral